Brassica rapa (field mustard) is the source of this 217-nucleotide non-coding RNA. Lineage: Eukaryota; Viridiplantae; Streptophyta; Magnoliopsida; Brassicales; Brassicaceae. The record is from Rfam.
ACGACCUUACUUGAACAGGACCCGUUCUAUAGGCCGUACCUCUGUGUUCUUGAUCUUAAAGAGACAAGCCCUUAACCCUGGUUGAUGGUACAUGGCCGUGCGAUUAGAGCGUGAUUAACGGCUGCGACCAUCGUAGGAUGUGUUCGGUGCUGUAGAGGAUCGUUACUCGGCUCGAUUCUAUCCUUGCCGGGGUGGUUGCACGGCAGUCUGACAGGCU